Molecule: ribosomal RNA, 579 nt
Filed under: uncultured Gammaproteobacteria bacterium
Lineage: Bacteria; Pseudomonadati; Pseudomonadota; Gammaproteobacteria
Description: bacterial SSU rRNA
Rfam family: Bacterial small subunit ribosomal RNA
Source: RNAcentral
AGGCAGCAGUGGGGAAUAUUGGACAAUGGGCGCAAGCCUGAUCCAGCAAUACCGCGUGUGUGAAGAAGGCCUGAGGGUUGUAAAGCACUUUCAAUAGAGACGAAAAGCCUAGGGUUAAUAGCUCUGGGUCUUGACUUAACCUAUAGAAGAAGCACCGGCUAACUCCGUGCCAGCAGCCGCGGUAAUACGGAGGGUGCAAGCGUUAAUCGGAAUUACUGGGCGUAAAGCGCUCGUAGGCGGUUUGUUAAGUCGGAUGUGAAAGCCCCGGGCUCAACCUGGGAACUGCAUUCGAUACUGGCAAACUAGAGUAUAGAAGAGGCAAGUGGAAUUCCAGGUGUAGCGGUGAAAUGCGUAGAUAUCUGGAGGAACAUCAGUGGCGAAGGCGACUUGCUGGUCUAAUACUGACGCUGAGGAGCGAAAGCGCGGGGAGCAAACGGGAUUAGAUACCCCGGUAGUCCACGCCGUAAACGAUGUCAACUAGCCGUUGGGGGUCUUAGUACCUUUAGUGGCGCAGCUAACGCAUUAAGUUGACCGCCUGGGGAGUACGGUCGCAAGACUAAAACUCAAAUGAAUUGACGG